CCUUUAAAUCUUAGCCCUUCGUUUUAUAUUUCCUCAUCAAGAAAACAAACCCAUCUCUUUCAAUGUGACCCAUUUUUCACUUGAUAAUAACCCCUUCUUUUUUAAUACCCUUUUUCUCACACUGAACACACAACACAAAGCCCCAACAGAUCACACACUCCCUCCCUUCUCCUUCCCAUUCUCCUUCCCCUUCCCCUUCCCCUUCCCCUUCCCCUUCCCCUUCUCCUUCUCCUUCUCCCUUGCUUGCUUAGGAGGGUGAAGGUGAGAAAAAAUAUCAAAAGGGAUGGAUCCAAGCAAUUCAAAAAUCGAUCCAUCAGAGUUUGAGGCGGUGCCUUCGGAGUUGAAAACCUUAGAAAGGGAGCUCGAGGAAAAGAUGAAGAAGAUGGAAGAAAUGAAGAAGAAGAUUGAGGGUAAGAAGGUUUGUUUAGAAAAGAAGAAGGAUGGUGUGAAGUUUUCAAGGAAAGAAAUGGAAGUUUUUAAAGGGUUAUGUGGAAAAUACAAGAGCUUGAGAAAGGAAUACAAUGAAGCAUGGGAGAAAGAGAGAAGAGAAUCCUAGGAAAUGUGUAAUUAAUGACCAAAGACUUGAAUGUCUCUAGCACAUGUUAUUUUAAUUAUUAAUAAAGAUCCAAAUUAAUUUAUUUA
Cucumis sativus (cucumber) is the source of this 642-nucleotide long non-coding RNA. RefSeq lists it as uncharacterized. The record is from RefSeq and is a predicted model, not a curated record. NCBI's taxonomy places the organism in Eukaryota, Viridiplantae, Streptophyta, Magnoliopsida, Cucurbitales, Cucurbitaceae. The transcript has 3 exons.